ACUCCUACGGGAGGCAGCAGUAAGGAAUAUUGCGCAACGGGCGAAAGCCUGACGCAGCGACGCCGCGUGGGGGAUGAAGGUCUUCGGAUUGUAAACCCCUUUCGGGAGGGAAGAUGGAGCGAGCAAUCGUUCGGACGGUACCUCCAGAAGCAGCCACGGCCAACUUCGUGCCAGCAGCCGCGGUAAUACGAAGGUGGCAAGCGUUGUUCGGAUUCACUGGGCGUACAGGGUGUGUAGGCGGUUUGGUAAGCCUUCUGUUAAAGCUUCGGACCCAUCNUUANANGGNGCAGAGGGUACUGCCAGGCUAGAGGGUGGGAGAGGAGCGCGGAAUUCCCG
Molecule: ribosomal RNA, 336 nt
Filed under: uncultured Nitrospira sp.
Lineage: Bacteria; Pseudomonadati; Nitrospirota; Nitrospiria; Nitrospirales; Nitrospiraceae
Description: bacterial SSU rRNA
Rfam family: Bacterial small subunit ribosomal RNA
Source: RNAcentral